Molecule: ribosomal RNA, 499 nt
Filed under: uncultured bacterium
Lineage: Bacteria
Description: partial 16S ribosomal RNA
Rfam family: Bacterial small subunit ribosomal RNA
Source: RNAcentral
GAUGAACGCUGGCGGCGUGCCUAAUACAUGCAAGUCGAGCGAACAGACGAGAGUGCUUGCACUCUCUGACGUUAGCGGCGGACGGGUGAGUAACACGUGGGUAACCUACCUAUAAGACUGGGAUAACUUCGGGAAACCGGAGCUAAUACCGGAUAAUAUUUAGCUUCGCAUGAAGCAAUAGUGAAAGACGGUUCUGCUGUCACUUAUAGAUGGACCCGCGGUGUAUUAGCUAGUUGGUGAGGUAACGGCUCACCAAGGCAACGAUACAUAGCCGACCUGAGAGGGUGAUCGGCCACACUGGGACUGAGACACGGCCCAGACUCCUACGGGAGGCAGCAGUAGGGAAUCUUCCGCAAUGGACGAAAGUCUGACGGAGCAAUGCCGCGUGAGUGAAGAAGGUUUUCGGAUCGUAAAACUCUGCUGUAAGGGAAGAACAAGUACGUUAGUAACUGAACGUACCUUGACAGUACCUUACCAGAAAGCCACGGCUAACUACGUG